UAAGCAAUUGGAAAAGUUGAAAGACUUUUAUUUCUGGAAAAAUGUUUAUAGAGAAAUUCAUCCAACCCAAUAUGGUCGUAGAAAAAGUUAGGUAGAUUCACCUAGUGUUAUAGUUAGGGAUGGUAGAAAGGGCUCGACGGAUUAGCCUCUCAAUUUGGUAAAAUAAUGGCGGGUUGGAUGACAAAAUAAAUAAAACAGCAGUCCAACCUCAUAGCUUGACAGUGGACCUGUUAGGAUAAAAUUAAAUAUCAAGGUUUAUUUGCAAUUACGUUUAAGUUCCUGGCUUUUGUUUUUAGUUUUUUUUUUGUAUAAUAUACUCGGUCAGUAUUAUUCGGUUAGUGUUGGUCAGUAUUAUUCGGUUAGUGUUGGUCAAUAUUAUUCAGAGAAGAGAGGUCUCUUCUCUGAGCAAGAAUCCCAGGUGUGCAUUCCCUACACACGCGCAUGCCGCUGCUCCCGUCCGACCAGUCACGGUGCCACCGCCUCCUACCCACCUUGACUUCGCCGGCGACACCACUCCGCCGGAUCCGCCGGCGGCCACGGCGUCACCGCCCUCUCCCUCUCCUCGCUUCUAAAACGCCAACCCAGGGAAGGGUUUGCCUCCGUCGCAUAUGCACCACUACUUCUUCGAACCAGCCACCGCGCCACCACCUUCUACUAGUCUCGGCGUCGCUAGCGACACCACACUCCACCGGAGCUACCGCCGGUCGCGGCGUCCCCGCCCUCUCUUUCUCUUGUGAACGACAAAAACACAAUCCCUGGGAUGAGUUCUUCCUGAUCCCACCGAGACCAGCCGCUGCCGGUGCACUGACGCCUCCUUCUCCCAACCGACCGCCGUCUACAGCUCCUUUUGUGCUAGGGUUGAUUGAUUAAACCAAACAACAUAGUGAACAUGGCCAUAGGGGUUUUCACGGUGUAAGUCAAGGUUGAUGAUGAUCAAGGGGGUUGUGUGCGGAUAUCAGUUUGCAGGUUUGGGUUCUGCAAAGAGAGCACUGGUCUCUCAUUGUUGAAGGUCGUGAGGCGUGUUUGGGUUGUUGGGAAUGGAUGAAGGAGGGUACAGAAGCAAGCCAGAAGUAACAGAAAUAUGUAUCCCUCUAUAAUUACAUAUUUAGUCCAGAUAUGAGCAAGCAAACCAUGCCAAGCCUUAUCAAAUCAAAUGGAAGCAGAUAUCAACCCAAUCCCAAUACAAGCAGACAACAACCAUCAAUAUCCCAAACAUUCAUAGCAUAUGAGCAAUUUAAGAGUGAAGACUUACCUUUCGCGUUCUAGCUUUUACUUGCUUCGUAAGUGCCUGCGAACGACAAUGAAGAUGCUAACGAGAGUGGAUAGUGAGGGUCCUGUUGUGUGAAUGGAAGAUGGGAAAUCAUGGGUCCUCUGGUUUUGAGUGUGUUGAAGAAGAUGGAAGGGUAAAUCAAAGAUGAACUAAUGAUGAGGAGAGCCUUUUUCUGUGCGAGUGAGAACAGUGAGAACAGGAUGUUGUGAGAAUCCAAAGGUAUCAGUUUUCUUUUUUUUUUUUGUGAAAAUGUUUUUGGGAUUCUAUUGUGCGUGGUGAAGAAUUGAAUUCUCAGAGUCGUGUGAGUGAAUGAUAAUGGUGUUGGAAGUGAGGGGAGUCCAGAGUUUGGAGUUCGGCUAUGGUAUAAUGACGUGAGACCGAUAGGUGGAAGUCAAAAGAUGAAUUGUGAUCCUCCGAUCCAAAAUGGCUCUCUCCCUUAGCCAUGUUCACGGGGCAGAUGAAACCAAAGUCAAAAGCUUGGCCUGUUCAAUGAUUGCUUCCUGCAACAGCCCUUCCUCUGCUGUGUCUCCUCUUAAGAUUUGUGGACAAGUUCGGCUUUGAAAAGAUAGCAAAAGCUACGUCAGGAGAAACGUGUGUGAUAUCCUGGAGAAGACAUACAAAGGGAUGACCAUGAUAAGCAAGUACGACUUCAAAUUCUUAUAGGUGAGUUUGAAAACUUUGAAGAUGAAAGAGAGAAAACGAGUAGCCGAAUACAUAAUUCGGGUGAAGACCGUGGCAAAUCAACUCGACAGAAAUGGAGAGUACCGCCUGUCAGCUGAGUUAUGGAGAAGAUCAGGUCGUUGACAAACAACUUUGAGAACAUAAUUUACACCAUUAAUUAAUCCAAGGAUUUGUAAUUGCUCUUAGUUAAAGAGCUUGUCGGGUCAAACACUUCAAGCAAAGCAUGACCUGAGGAAGAUGCUCGAAACACUAAGUUCGUGACCCUGGAGAGUCAAGGAAGGUAGGUCGUGACAAAGAUUACAAUGAAGACGACAAAUAAUAAAUCGGCAAAGUCAUCUGUGACAAAGGACAAGGUAUGGUUACUGAGACGCUGCACAGCCAUGUAGCCCCAAGUACCUAAAAGUGAAAGUAAUAUCUUAGUUUAACUGACAAAUUAAUUGGGUAGAAAUGACUAAGCUCGUAAAAUAAAACAUUACCCAUAUGAAUAUCAUUAUCUACUUUAAUUGGGUUUGGCUUUGACAUAAAACGUGCUCCCUGUACGCUAAGGUCAAAAUCUUGAGUCUUGGCUGCAUAUUGUCAUCCAAAACAAUGUUAGUGUUCAGAUCUAUGACAUUUGGAGCAGUGAGUGUGACCAUAGGCUCACAAUUUGAAGAAGAAUUGCGCACAGUAAAUUUCCAAAAGAUAAUGGAAUAGUAAUGCAAAACUGAUCAUAUUUUCAAACGACUAUACAAAUUGAUAUCGCACUCGAAAGACUAAGGUCUAUGUUUGCAAUGUCCAUGCUUGUGAAUGUAGUGAGCAUAUUAAACUUCCAUGGCUUGUGGCCUACUUGUAUUUUGAACCCUUCGUACUCUUAAGGUUGAAGAACUUUUCUGGAAUGAAGUAAAACAUUUCUGCU
Molecule: long non-coding RNA, 2846 nt
Organism: Vigna angularis (adzuki bean)
Lineage: Eukaryota; Viridiplantae; Streptophyta; Magnoliopsida; Fabales; Fabaceae
Exons: 3
Source: RefSeq, a predicted model, not a curated record